RNAcentral lists this ribosomal RNA (497 nucleotides) under uncultured bacterium. Its description in RNAcentral is "partial 16S ribosomal RNA". It matches the Rfam family "Bacterial small subunit ribosomal RNA", at positions 28 to 507 of the family's 1533-position model. The record is from RNAcentral.
GAUGAACGCUGGCGGCGUGCCUAAUACAUGCAAGUCGAGCGAACGGACGAGAAGCUUGCUUCUCUGAUGUUAGCGGCGGACGGGUGAGUAACACGUGGAUAACCUACCUAUAAGACUGGGAUAACUUCGGGAAAUCGGAGCUAAUACCGGAUAAUAUUUUGAACCGCAUGGUUCAAAAGUGAAAGACGGUCUUGCUGUCACUUAUAGAUGGAUCCGCGCUGCAUUAGCUAGUUGGUAAGGUAACGGCUUACCAAGGCAACGAUGCAUAGCCGACCUGAGAGGGUGAUCGGCCACACUGGAACUGAGACGCGGUCCAGACUCCUACGGGAGGCAGCAGUAGGGAAUCUUCCGCAAUGGGCGAAAGCCUGACGGAGCAACGCCGCGUGAGUGAUGAAGGUCUUCGGAUCGUAAAACUCUGUUAUUAGGGAAGAACAUAUGUGUAAGUAACUGUGCACAUCUUGACGGUACCUAAUCAGAAAGCCACGGCUAACUACGUG